GCAGCGGCUUAUAAACAUUUACAUCAUCAGAUACAUUAUUGAAAGCAUAUAAAAUCAAGGGGCUUAACUAUGAUUUGUUGCCAAAGUAGGACUAACUCUAGCUUUGACGCAAGUCUUGCCCCCUAAACAUAUGCAUGCAGUGUUAUGUUUAAGACGGAAUAUUUUUAUAUUUACAAUGGAUGGCAGAAGAAAGUCUUUGAGACUGAUGAAGCAUUUCUGACUAGAUAUUACAUCUUUGAAAAGAUGGGAUAGCUUUUUCCAGUGAAUGUUUUGGAUGAGUUUGUGUUAUUCUUGGCUGCUAUCAGGUGGCAUUAGUUCACAACCAAAGGCUCUUAAAUAAACAUACGAUGUGCUGUAGCGCAGUAGGCUUUCAUUGAAUCCUCAUGUGUGUUUGCUGAGGACAACAAGGAAGAGUAUGUUUAUUGAGGAGAAAACAAGGCAUCUUGGGAUUAAAUUUGUUCUGUUUUUUUGUCAAGUGGGACGGACGGAAUGCUGGAGAAACAAUAUUUCCUAUGCGCUGAAGGGUGUGUAGAAUUGAGGAGGCCUAAUGUGGGGAAGUUAUUAUGGUGAAUUAUUGGAUUGGUCAGUGUUAUUCUUGGUAUCGGUCUGCGACUUUCACUGCUUUGACCGUGAUUUCACGCCCAAAUGUACAAAUUUGAUGUCACGCUGUGGACGUUUUUAUUAAGGUUAUUGACGCAUGAAUCCUGACGUGUUUUGAGCUUCUAUAUAUGCAAUGAAGGAGUUUUCUCAAGCAUCUUAGCCAUUGAAAUUCAUGUGUUGAUCGAACCAUCGAGACUGCCAAAAAGAAAAUUACGCAAUCUUGUCAAAGUAAUGAGGUUCAUUUUGUAUUUUAUAUCUACACAUGCUACCUCAUGUUAAGUUAUUUGGUAUAUC
Molecule: long non-coding RNA, 894 nt
Organism: Pistacia vera
Lineage: Eukaryota; Viridiplantae; Streptophyta; Magnoliopsida; Sapindales; Anacardiaceae
Exons: 4
Source: RefSeq, a predicted model, not a curated record